GGCCUGGGCAGUGACCAGAACAUGAAGAAAAGGCUGUCGGCUAACCAACGUUUCGAACAGUUAUUUGACGUGUAGCACUAACUGGUUGUAACUUCAUCACACUAGCAGACAUUUCUGAACUGAUAUUGCUUUAAAGAAAUAUGCGCACACAUUGAUGUAAUAGUUUAAAAGCGCUGUGAGGAUAUGUUGACCCCGUGCUGGUGUUUACGGUGUGAGACACAGUUGUGAACUCGUGCUGACGGACAUUUGCAACGAGAGGGCACUCUGGCAGGACUUGGUGCUGAAUGGACAGCAGUCACUCCUCGGUCCGAGCUGAGUUACAAUUAAUGCUUGCAUACUGGAGACAUUUGGAUUAAAUAUCGUUACUGUCAAUAAAGCAUGUUUUAAAACAUGUGCAUUAGGAAUCAAUAAAAUAUGCAACACCAUACACUUUGAUAGAGUGUUUUUAAAGUAUAACUUAGAAAUAUAUCAUUUACAUUUUAUACGCUCCCAGAUACGAAAUUGACAUCAAGCUGUUUACCAGAGUAUGAAUACAAACACAUGGACAUUCACAUUUCACAACAGGAAGAAACUGUUGCAUCUGUUUAUUUCACACACAUACGCACUCGCGUCUGCACACCGGUUAUUUUCCUGCCAUACACGGGAAGCCGCAGAACGGUUGUAAAAUACGUGGGCAUGUCGUACUUAUCUGAUUAUCUCCUCAAGAAAACAUUUCAAGUAUAAAAAUAGCGGACGCUGCGGCUCAUAAGCGUCUCUUCAUGAGCACGUGAUCAAAGCGCAGAAACCACGGGAGCGGAUCUAACCUGCUGCUCCGUCUGUAUCUCGAGCAGAGGAUAGAGGAGGAUGGCACAAAAAUGCAGACGAACGUGAAGGGCCAACCCUUGCAGGCAUACCCCAGCGAACUUGGUCUACCCACCCCUGUCCUCAUCUGAGGAACUCACAGAGCUCAUUCCCCUUCCACUCCGCUCUCCCUCUUCCCCUCUUUCUACAGAUGCCUUUCUGGCCAACUUUGAGGGGAAAGUGGCCAGUACCCAGAAUGCCUUCACUUAUCCAGUGAUGCCCUGUACUCCCCAUGGUAAACUCACUCCUACACUUACCUCCUUCAAGCUUCUGGAGAACAUAGAUGUACUCAAACUCAUGACCACUCAUCAUGCAACCAUGGGUCUGCUAGAUCCCAUCCCAUCAGCAGUGCUUCAGUCUAUAUCCAAAAAACCUGCUUGACCCACCCCAGUCUGGCUUUUGAAAUAGGCACUCAACCGAGACUGCCCUCCUGACUGUGACAGAGGCACUUGUCACUGCAAGAACCUCAUCCCUCUCCUCUGUCCUGAUCCUUCUAGACCUGUCUGCAGCAUUCAUGGUCAACUACCAACUACUCAUUUCCACACUGGCUGAGAUGGGCAUUUCUGAAACUGCCCUCUCUUGGUUUGCUUCCUAUAUUGCAGAUAGAUCCUAUCAGGUCACCUGGAUGGGGUCUGUCUCUGCACCUCAUCCCCUUGUUGCAGGAAUCCCACAUAGAUCUAUACUGGAGCCUCUGCUGUUCUCCAUUUAAACCAAAUCUCUUGGCUCAGUCAUUACUUCAUAUGGUGUAGGAAUUUCCAAACAAAAAUAAUGGUUUUGAAGAUGAAGAUAACAAACAACAGUGUCAGGAGCUCAUUUUGAUGUUUUGAUAAAACGACCAGUUGGGAGGAGGUACAAGUACAGUCUUCAUACAUGAGUUUAUAUAUUUUUAAGUACUGUUGUUCCAGUCUAUCAGAUUCAUUCAAUCACCAUUUUCAAAAGUUCAAUUUGUGGCCAAUCACAGGUUAGGGAGUCCAUACCAAGACUGACUAUGUGGGCCUCCUCCAACUUGACAGUCCUUUGAUUCCUUAAUGCAUUUUAUUUGUACUGCAGCUGGGGUUUAUCUCCUUGUACUUACAUAGCAACAGAUGCAUUGUGUGGGGUGAAACAUCAUACAAUUAGAUGUGUAGGCUAUUGAAAGUAAACAUUAAGUAGACAUUCAGGACUUACAUUGAAUUACAUUUAUCAGAUUACUAUAAGGUCAAUAUGACAUUUUAUUGCUUACACAAUGCUUUAUGUAAAUCAACUUUUCAACCAUCUAGAUCAAAUCUUAGGAGGGGAGAAUUUAUAACAUUCUAUGUCCAUACAUAUAGGACAAAUAUAUGCUUUUAUUCUUACAGAAUUAUUUACAAGACCAUGUUUCAGUAAUACAAAAAAAAAAAAAAAAUUCUCCAAAAAAUGCAGGUGUAGGAAGCUGCGCCGGUUACAUGUCUUAUUCGUCUGCAUUUGGUGUCAUGCCCAUGCUUCUCUUUCCUCUGCUCGAGAAAUAGACGGAGCUGCGGGUUAGAGCCGCUCGCGUGGUUUCUGCGCUUUGAUCAUAUACUCAAGAAGGGAAGCUAAUGAGCCGCAGCGUUCGCUAUUUUUAUUCGUUCAUUUUUUUCUAGACGAGCUAAUCAGAUGCGUAAGAUAUGUCUGUGUUUUUUAUAACAGUUCUGCGGCUUUCUUCCUGUGUGUGGCAGGAAAAUAACGGGGUGUGCAUACUAGCGCGUAGGCUAGUAUGCUUUGAAAUAAAGAAAUGCAGCGGGUUUAAUCCUCUGGGGAAAUGUGUAUGUACGUUUGUUUGUGUGUAUGUUCUUGAACAGCUUGGUGUCCAUUCCAUGUUCCAUGUCCCAGGUUAUUGUAUUGUAUGGUCUACGUUUAUUGAUUCCUAAUGCAAAGAUUUUAAAACAUGCAUUAUUGACUGCAGCACUAUUUCGAUCCAAAGUUCCAGUCCGCGAGCAUUACAGCUCUGCCUGGACCAAGGAGUGACCGCUGUCCAUUCAGAACCACGUGCUGCCAGACCACCGUCUCACCGCAAAUAUCCAUCAGCGUGAGGUCACAGCUGUAUGGGGGUAUUAUUGCCUCAAAAUAAAUAAAUAAAUAAAUAAAUAAAUGUAACUGAUGCACAAAUAAAUAUAGCGAAUCCACAAAUAAAUAUAGCUGAUUCACAAAUAAAUGCAUCUGAGUCACAUUUUAUAUUACCUUGUGCUUAGACUCAAAGAAAAAAAUGAUUGUCUCAAAAAUCCACAAAUAGGUUUUAUUUCUCACUGUGUCUAGUUCAGAUUUUAAGACACCCUUUCGCCAACGCUCGCAUUACCCUCCGACCAAUCACGGAUACACUUCGGGAUUGUGUUGUGUAGCGCCAAAACAACUGCUCCGUCGGGAUGGU
Anguilla anguilla (European eel) is the source of this 3205-nucleotide long non-coding RNA. RefSeq lists it as uncharacterized. The transcript is spliced from 4 exons. Lineage: Eukaryota; Metazoa; Chordata; Actinopteri; Anguilliformes; Anguillidae. The record is from RefSeq and is a predicted model, not a curated record.